GUCUCUCUGUCCCUCUGUCUCUCUCUCUCUGUUUCUCUGUGUGUGUGUGUGUGUGUGUGUGUGUCUCUCUCUCUUUCUGUCUCCCUCUCCAGCCCCACCCUUUCAGUCUCCUCCGGGUGCACUGAUAAGGUUGGAAAGUGGAAUGGUGGACGCUGACAGAGGCAAAAAUCUGCUAACUCAGGGGGCAGACUCAACCAAGACUGUGAGCAGGCCUGGGGAAUGACCCCCCGAUCUCCAACCAGUGCCUUCCGCAGCUGCACGGCUGUCUCCAGCUGUCUCUGCCCCUCUUCCUGGCCCUGGCUCCAUCUCUCUGUCACCUCACCCUUCCCUGUGCCACAUGGGCCCUCUCUCUCCUGCCAGGACGCUGCGGCUCUGGGGACCUCGGAGCCUGGGGGUGGCUCUGGGAGUCUUCAUGACCAUUGGCUUUGCACUCCAGCUCUUGGGAGGGCCCUUCCAGAGGAGGCUACCUGGGCUACAGCUCCGACAGCCCUCGGCCCCAUCCCUACGACCAGCCCUUCCGUCCUGCCCACCCCGGCAGCGACUGGUGUUCCUGAAGACACAUAAAUCCGGGAGCAGCUCUGUGCUGAGCCUGCUUCACCGCUAUGGGGACCAGCACGGGCUGCGCUUCGCCCUCCCUGCCCGCUACCAGUUUGGCUACCCAAAGCUCUUCCAGGCCUCUAGGGUAAAAGGCUACCGCCCACAGGGUGGAGGCACCCAGCUCCCCUUCCACAUCCU
Molecule: long non-coding RNA, 735 nt
Filed under: Homo sapiens (human)
Lineage: Eukaryota; Metazoa; Chordata; Mammalia; Primates; Hominidae
Description: non-protein coding lnc-GPC2-1:3
Source: RNAcentral